This 568-nucleotide long non-coding RNA is filed under the name Homo sapiens (human). RNAcentral's name for it is "novel transcript". The record is from RNAcentral. Lineage: Eukaryota; Metazoa; Chordata; Mammalia; Primates; Hominidae.
GUCAGAGGGUACUUCCCCACCCUUUUUACAGUGGCAGAAAAUCUUUCUCAUACAUAUAAAUAUUACCUUAACCUCAUUAAUCUUCAUCUCUUUCCGAAUUAUUGUAUAGUUACUAUAGACAAACCUCUUCUUGCUCUUUUAUGCAUAUAUAAUUAGAAACCAACCCUAGGCACUAAAAAGAAUAGUUUUAGUGAUAUACCUUCUUAUCAAACAAAGAGCCAACACAAGUUAUGAAAUUAAACUAGACACACCCCUUCUUCGAGGUUACGCCAAGCCAGUGCCUGGGCCUGAAACUGGCCUGCAGCCCCUCAGCUUCGCCCACUGCCUUCCGACCCUGGACCUUCGCAAAGUGAACGAGCUUCGGGACUUCGUGAAAAUGUAUAAGCAGGAUCCGAGCAUUCUGCAUACCAAGGAAAUGUGCUUUCUGAGGGAGCAGGUGGAGAGCAUGGGGGGUGAAGUACCAUGUGCUACUCAGAAAGCUAUUAUAAAUCAGAAGAAAAUAUCAAGGAAUUAAAAACAGGUAGUAAGAAGGUGGAGGAAAACAUAAGCACAGACGAACUAUCAAGUG